GGGUCCAUAGUGUAGUGGUUAGCACGUCUGCUUUACACGCAGAAGGUCCUCACCCCAGUGGAGCCA
RNAcentral lists this transfer RNA (66 nucleotides) under Pteropus alecto (black flying fox). It matches the Rfam family "tRNA". Rfam says of the family: Transfer RNA (tRNA) molecules are approximately 80 nucleotides in length. Their secondary structure includes four short double-helical elements and three loops (D, anti-codon, and T loops). The record is from Rfam by way of RNAcentral. Lineage: Eukaryota; Metazoa; Chordata; Mammalia; Chiroptera; Pteropodidae.